UACGGGGGGGGCAAGCGUUGUUCGGAAUUACUGGGCGUAAAGGGCUUGUAGGUGGCCAACUAAGUCAGACGUGAAAUCCCUCGGCUUAACCGGGGAACUGCGUCUGAUACUGGAUGGCUAGAGUUUGGGAGAGGGAUGCGGAAUUCCAGGUGUAGCGGUGAAAUGCGUAGAUAUCUGGAGGAACACCGGUGGCGAAGGCGGCAUCCUGGACCAACACUGACGCUGAGGAGCGAAAGCCAGGGGAGCAAACGGG
This 253-nucleotide ribosomal RNA is filed under the name uncultured bacterium. RNAcentral describes it as "partial 16S ribosomal RNA". It matches the Rfam family "Bacterial small subunit ribosomal RNA", at positions 524 to 776 of the family's 1533-position model. The record is from RNAcentral.